UACUUCUCACUUGUAUCAAACUAUAUAACCCUAAAGCCUUAUCUUUUUUUUCCAACCUCAUCCAGAUUGCAACCUUCUCCAACCCGGAUUCCCGUCACUCCGUCGACUCAUACUGCUCCGGCCGCCACCUCGACGUUCGCUCUCACUCAUUCACAGGUUCUCCCCCGCUCUCUCGUUUUGUCUCGUUCUCUCUCUCUCUCUUUCUCUCGUGUGCUCUCUCUAAAGUAAGUAAAAAGAAAUGAUUUAUUAGUUGAUUUGCUUACUUUAUUAGAAAUGAUUUGCUUAAAAAAGGUUCAACUGUUCAGGUUUGUUCACUUUUGGAAAGGGGAAAUUGUUAAUUAUUUUCUUCCAAAUUUGUUAAUUACUCUUCAUUUCUUCUUCUUCUUCUUCUUCGUUACAGGUUCACUUUGAUUUUUGUAUCGCGGAAUUACAGCCAUUUCAAGUCGGGAAUCUAAACUCCUUGCUGGAAAUCGUGCUAUUGCUCAGGUUCCAAUUAAUUACUUUACUAUGCGAAGCAAACAGUUGUCAUGGAUAAAAGAUAAAAUGCUAGUUAAUGAAGAUGUAUUUCUGAAAAUAAUGAAAAUAGUUUUCGACACAACUUUUAGAAAAUGAAAAUAAGAAAUAUUUUCAAGCAAAUGAACCCUUAUGUGUUUGAUUUGUGUGUGUGUGAUCAAUGGAAGUUGCAACUAUAGGCUAACUAAUAUUAGCUUAUCAUAUAAUAGAUUAGUUAAAUAAUGUUGAGUUCUGUGUCCAAAGUCAUAUUUCUUAUAUACUUUAGUGAU
RNAcentral lists this long non-coding RNA (782 nucleotides) under Cicer arietinum (chickpea). RNAcentral describes it as "long non-coding RNA (CARI_LNC002284)". The record is from RNAcentral. Lineage: Eukaryota; Viridiplantae; Streptophyta; Magnoliopsida; Fabales; Fabaceae.